Condylostylus longicornis is the source of this 994-nucleotide long non-coding RNA. RefSeq lists it as uncharacterized. The record is from RefSeq and is a predicted model, not a curated record. The transcript has 2 exons. NCBI's taxonomy places the organism in Eukaryota, Metazoa, Arthropoda, Insecta, Diptera, Dolichopodidae.
UCUUCAGUGAGGCGAUACAGAAAUUUAACAGUAUAACGGUUAAAAAAAUCAACCAUACUAGAAAGAAAAAAUAAAAUAAAAGUAAAAAUAAAAAAGAAAAUAAAAAAAAAUAAAAUAAAUUCAAAUCUCAUUAUGAUUUUAUUUCAUGAAUAAGAACAUUUAUAUAUGAACGUAUAUACAAUAUAUAAAAAAAAAACAUUAAAUAAAUGAAUAAACUAUGUGUAUAUAAUAUGAAAAAAGAAAAUAAAAAUUUCUUGUGGCCUAAAGCAGGAUAAAAGCAAUAAUUUAUAAAUAUAUUAAAGAAAAAAAAAAGGAAGCAAAACAAAAAAAAAAUAUAAUAUAGAAAAAUCUAUAAAAGUGAUGUGAAAAAUAUUUUCAGAAAAUUCAAAUUCAAAUGAAUACAAAAAAAGGGAAUGAAAUAUACAAAAUUUUGCAUAAGAAUCCAAAAAAAAAAACCGAAAAUUUAAAAAAAAUAUUCUCAAUUCUAUUUAAAAAAUUUUUGAAGAGUGCACUAAUAUAACAUCAUUGUUUUUUUCUUUUCUAAUCAAUAUAAUUUUAAUAAAUAUUUUCAAAUGAGCACAAAAUUAAAAAAAUGAUUCAAGAAAACUAAAAACAAUUUACACCUAAAUUCUACAAGGAUAGAAUUAUAACAUAAAAAAAAAAAACACACAAUUAAAAAUUACUGAAAAAUUUUUCUUUACCAUUAUUAUAUACGAAUGAGAAAUUAUUAACCGUAACAGAAAUAUAAGAAAAAGAAGAAGAAAAAAUCAAAAAGGAUUAAAGCCGCCAAAUGGCCAAAAUGGCCUUAUUAUAUUGCCUAAAAAAUCAGGAUUUUAAAGGAUUUUCAAUUAUUGUGAAUAAUGUGUAUUGUAAUACAAAAGCUUAUUUAUAAAUUUAUUGUAUUAUAAAAAUUUUGGAAUUUAUAAUUAAAAUAAUAUAUUCAAUAAUUCAAGUGAAAUAUAUAAUAUAUUAAAUAAUAUUGUUAAAAGGAUCA